GGCUGUCUGUGGCCUGCCUGCACACGGUCACCAUGUCAGCACCAAGAGAGACUCCAGGAAGCCUAGAGGACCAGUGAUAAAGACUCUGUGAGGCACAUGGGCCCCUCCUUCAGAAGGAAGCAGGCUUUCCUGAUGUUUGCCUUAACCUGACCUCACUGCACAUAACACAAAGAGGAGGAAGGGCCACCCUGCUCAUCUGUCCAGGGCCGUGGAAACCCAGAGAGCACUGUGGCCUGUGCCUCUUUGGGCUGGAUGUUCACACCACACCACUGAGCAGUGUAGACCAGAGCAGAGUGAGCAGAGUGGAGGGAGUGCACCUGGAGGUCACAUUCACUUGCUUCCUGGCAGCCACCCCAGCUCCAGCUGUGUUGCCUCCCUCCCUCCCUCCCCUUCCUGUCCCUCUCUUCCUUUCCUCCCCCUCAGCCUCCUUCCCACCCUUUUUUUCUUUUGCUGGCUUCUGUUCUUUCUUUCCAUGAGCAGAGAGUUUCCAGGCUUGGCCCACAGCCAGCACAUGUGGACAAAAGACUUAGAGGGAGCCGUCACCUUCCAUGCUGUCCGCAGGGCGGCACAGCUUAGUAAGGCUGCUCCCCUGGCUGCCCCCCUGGCUGCUCCCCUGAAGUUUCUGGGAAAGAGGGUCUGGAUGGUUCUGGAACUCAGGCUCUGAUUCCAAUGAACCUGAGAGCUGCAGGCCUUCUGGCAAGUUCUUCUCUAUGCCCCAGGCCUCUCGGUUUUACCAGAAAGUUUGCAAGACCUUGGAAAGGAUGACGUGAGGCUGUACCUGUGGGACACUCUGGCACAUUCUGGGAGAAGUGCUCAACAAAUGUCUGCUGAGAUUUUUUUAAAGUGAGCCUCACCCUGGCAAGUGAUACUAGCAUUGAUGAUGCUGGGUCCUGAAUUGAUAAGGACUGUGCACUCAACUCAUUUAGAGGGCUGAUUGUUCCCAAGUUCUAUGAAACCUAAAAUACUCUCUCAGACCAGGCUGGGGGUGUAGUUCAAUGAUAGAGGGAGGACUUACCUAACAUUAACAAUGCCCUGGGAUAAAUCCCCAGCACUGUAACACCCACCCUCCACCCUCACGCUCACACAUCCACCAGCAAACUCUUGAGCAAAUGACCGUAGCAGCAACAUGAUCUGAGAACAUUUUGGUUUUUCCAAGAGCUGAGCCCCUUUCUUCUGCAGUAGAAGCAAGACACCCAGGACACGAUGACCCUCAGCCUCUGUUCGCCAGGGGUCACCGAGCCUGCUGUCUGUCCUGACCUCCCCAGCCAGAGCUAUUUUUCAGUUUCUUGUGGGCUAAGGCCCGGGUCUGUCUGUUUACUAUCUUAGCCUGGUGUUUUUGUACUCAAAAGUUUCGUAACGCCUGCGAGUAUGUUCUUCUUCACUGGCUAAAUUCUGAGAUAUGAAAAAUGGUCUUUCAAUUACAAUUUAGUUAAUCUGAGGCAGCAUGAAUGGAUUUGAAAUUGACCAAUAAACUCAAUCACCAAGCA
This 1487-nucleotide long non-coding RNA is filed under the name Mus caroli (Ryukyu mouse). Its description in RNAcentral is "RIKEN cDNA 8030453O22 gene (MGP_CAROLIEiJ_G0013752.1)". The record is from RNAcentral. Lineage: Eukaryota; Metazoa; Chordata; Mammalia; Rodentia; Muridae.